AGUGAACGCUGGCGGUAGGCCUAACACAUGCAAGUCGAACGGCAGCACAGUAAGAGCUUGCUCUUACGGGUGGCGAGUGGCGGACGGGUGAGGAAUACAUCGGAAUCUUCUUUUUCGUGGGGGAUAACGUAGGGAAACUUACGCUAAUACCGCAUAUGACCUACGGGUGAAAGCAGGGGAUCUUCGGACCUUGCGCGAUUGAAUGAGCCGAUGUCGGAUUAGCUAGUUGGCGGGGUAAAGGCCCACCAAGGCGACGAUCCGUAGCUGGUCUGAGAGGAUGAUCGGCCACACUGGAACUGAGACACGGUCCAGACUCCUACGGGAGGCAGCAGUGGGGAAUAUUGGACAAUGGGCGCAAGCCUGAUCCAGCCAUACCGCGUGGGUGAAGAAGGCCUUCGGGUUGUAAAGCCCUUUUGUUGGGAAAGAAAAGCAGCAGGUUAAUACCCCGCUGUUCUGACGGUACCCAAAGAAUAAGCACCGGCUAACUUCGUG
This 492-nucleotide ribosomal RNA is filed under the name uncultured bacterium. RNAcentral's name for it is "partial 16S ribosomal RNA". It matches the Rfam family "Bacterial small subunit ribosomal RNA", at positions 29 to 507 of the family's 1533-position model. The record is from RNAcentral.